GGCUGACCUACGAUGAUAACGUGACCUGGCUGCCCCUUUGCUUGUCAGGGCUACUCUGGCUGAUCUGGGUGGCUGGGCGGCUCCAUCCUCCCUGCCCAUGCCCCAGUCAUCCCUUCCAAAGCUGCGUGGUCAGAGAGGACAGCCUGUCCCACUAGAGACCACCGACUUCAGCUAAAGGCCUAGGUUCAGCUGGCCCCUGCUAGCGCCUCUGCUCACGUCUUCGAGGUGCCUCUGCGGAGGAGCACAGCAGAGUGGAGCUUCCCAGGCACAGACCUCCAGGAGAGGCGCUGCAGGUGUCCACGGCAGGUGGAGUCUGCCUUUGCU
RNAcentral lists this small nuclear RNA (324 nucleotides) under Octodon degus (degu). Its description in RNAcentral is "7SK RNA (ENSODEG00000022481.1)". It matches the Rfam family "7SK RNA". From Rfam's summary of the family: 7SK was discovered as an abundant small nuclear RNA in the mid-70s but a possible function has only recently been suggested. Two independent studies have found that 7SK RNA binds the CDK9/cyclin T complex (known as elongation factor P-TEFb). The record is from Rfam by way of RNAcentral. Lineage: Eukaryota; Metazoa; Chordata; Mammalia; Rodentia; Octodontidae.